UGAGGAAUUUUCGGCAAUGGGGGCAACCCUGACCGAGCAACGCCGCGUGCAGGAAGAAGGUUUUCGGAUCGUAAACUGCUUUUCUGUGGGACGAGAACGGACGGUACCACAGGAACAAGCCCCGGCUAACUACGUGCCAGCAGCCGCGGUAAUACGUAGGGGGCGAGCGUUGUCCGGAGUUACUGGGCGUAAAGCGCGCGCAGGCGGUCUGUUAAGUUUGCACUGACAGCUCCUGGCUUAACCGGGAGAGGCGUGUGAAAACUGGCAGACUUGAGGGCCUCAGAGGGACAUGGAAUUCCAGGUGGAGCGGUGAAAUGCGUAGAGAUCUGGAGGAACACCAAUAGCGAAGGCAGUGUCCUGGGAGGCACCUGACGCUCAGGCGCGAAAGCCAGGGGAGCGAACGGGAUUAGAUACCCCCGUAGUCC
This 425-nucleotide ribosomal RNA is filed under the name uncultured bacterium. RNAcentral's name for it is "bacterial SSU rRNA". It matches the Rfam family "Bacterial small subunit ribosomal RNA", at positions 355 to 796 of the family's 1533-position model. The record is from RNAcentral.